This 420-nucleotide ribosomal RNA is filed under the name uncultured bacterium. Its description in RNAcentral is "bacterial SSU rRNA". It matches the Rfam family "Bacterial small subunit ribosomal RNA", at positions 87 to 518 of the family's 1533-position model. The record is from RNAcentral.
GAAAGUCAGUGGCGGACGGGUGAGUAACGCGUGAGCAACCUGCCUUUGCGAGGGGAAUAACACAGAGAAAUCUGUGCUAAUACCGCAGUGACGCACCGAGGUCACAUGGCCAUGGUGUUAAAGGAGCAAUCCGCGCAAAGAUGGGCUCGCGUCUGAUUAGAUAGUUGGCGGGGUAACGGCCCACCAAGUCGACGAUCAGUAGCCGGACUGAGAGGUUGAACGGCCACAUUGGAACUGAGAAACGGUCCAGACUCCUACGGGAGGCAGCAGUGGGGAAUAUUGGGCAAUGGGCGAAAGCCUGACCCAGCCGACGCCGCGUGAGUGAAGAAGGUCUUCGGAUUGUAAAGCUCUGUUGACAGGGAAGAAGAAAGUGACGGUACCUGUCGAGGAAGCCACGGCUAACUACGUGCCAGCAGCCGC